GACGAACGCUGGCGGCGUGCUUAACACAUGCAAGUCGAACGGAAAGGCCCUGCUUUUGUGGGGUGCUCGAGUGGCGAACGGGUGAGUAACACGUGGGUAACCUGCCCUUGACUUUGGGAUAACUUCAGGAAACUGGGGCUAAUACCGGAUAGGAGCUCCUGCUGCAUGGUGGGGGUUGGAAAGUUUCGGCGGUUGGGGAUGGACUCGCGGCUUAUCAGCUUGUUGGUGGGGUAGUGGCUUACCAAGGCUUUGACGGGUAGCCGGCCUGAGAGGGUGACCGGCCACAUUGGGACUGAGAUACGGCCCAGACUCCUACGGGAGGCAGCAGUGGGGAAUAUUGUACAAUGGGCGGAAGCCUGAUGCAGCAACGCCGCGUGCGGGAUGACGGCCUUCGGGUUGUAAACCGCUUUCGCCUGUGACGAAGCGUGAGUGACGGUAAUGGGUAAAGAAGCACCGGCUAACUACGUG
RNAcentral lists this ribosomal RNA (468 nucleotides) under uncultured bacterium. RNAcentral describes it as "partial 16S ribosomal RNA". It matches the Rfam family "Bacterial small subunit ribosomal RNA", at positions 28 to 507 of the family's 1533-position model. The record is from RNAcentral.